AUUGAACGCUGGCGGCAGGCUUAACACAUGCAAGUCGAGCGGAGACUUCGGUCUUAGCGGCGAACGGGUGAGUAAUACCUAGGAAUCUGCCUAUUAGUGGGGGAUAACGAAUCGAAAGGUUCGCUAAUACCGCAUACGUCCUACGGGAGAAAGGGGGGGAUCUUCGGACCUCUCGCUAAUAGAUGAGCCUAGGCCGGAUUAGCUAGUUGGUAGGGUAAAGGCCUACCAAGGCGACGAUCUGUAGCUGGUCUGAGAGGAUGGCCAGCCACACUGGAACUGAGACACGGUCCAGACUCCUACGGGAGGCAGCAGUGGGGAAUAUUGGACAAUGGGGGCAACCCUGAUCCAGCCAUGCCGCGUGUGUGAAGAAGGCCUCGGUUGUAAGACGACUUAAGACGAGGAGGAGGUACACUGUACUAAUAUUA
This 425-nucleotide ribosomal RNA is filed under the name uncultured bacterium. RNAcentral describes it as "bacterial SSU rRNA". It matches the Rfam family "Bacterial small subunit ribosomal RNA", at positions 30 to 469 of the family's 1533-position model. The record is from RNAcentral.